RNAcentral lists this transfer RNA (89 nucleotides) under Aestuariimicrobium sp. T2.26MG-19.2B. RNAcentral's name for it is "tRNA-Pro(cgg)". Lineage: Bacteria; Bacillati; Actinomycetota; Actinomycetes; Propionibacteriales; Propionibacteriaceae. The record is from RNAcentral.
CUGGUGGUGGUCUGGCUGCGCGACCCGCGUCGGUCGUGGGCGGCACCGCCGUUGGCGGUGGUCGCAUGGUUCCUGACCGCGGUACCGGC